RNAcentral lists this transfer RNA (67 nucleotides) under Ixodes fecialis. Its description in RNAcentral is "tRNA-Trp". The record is from RNAcentral. Lineage: Eukaryota; Metazoa; Arthropoda; Arachnida; Ixodida; Ixodidae.
AAGAUUUUAAGUUAAAUUAAACUUUGUGCCUUCAAAGUACAUAAUAAAUAAAAUUAUUUAAAUCUUA